Molecule: ribosomal RNA, 2770 nt
Filed under: Halobacteriales archaeon QH_6_64_20
Lineage: Archaea; Methanobacteriati; Methanobacteriota; Halobacteria; Halobacteriales
Description: bacterial LSU rRNA
Rfam family: Archaeal large subunit ribosomal RNA
Source: RNAcentral
CGCCUGGUGAAUGGCUCGGCUCGAGUGCCGACGAAGGACGUGCCAAGCUGCGAUAAGCCCCGGGGACCCGCAUGGAGGGUAAGAACCGGGGAUGUCCGAAUAGGAAUCCUCUCGCAAUUGCCUCGCGCAAUGGGGAACGCCGGAAACUGAAACAUCUCAGUACCGGCAGGAAGAGAAACCGAACGGGAUGUCGUUAGUAACCGCGAGUGAACGCGACGGAGUCCAAACCGAAGCUUGCGGGUUAUACCGGAAGCAAUGUGGUGUUCGGACUGACACUCAGCGCCGAACCUCCAGCGUGAACUCUCCUGGAACGGAGGGCGAUACAGGGUGAAAGCCCCGUAACGCGGGAGCGACGGCGUGCGUCAGUACCAGAGUAACGAGGGCUGGAAACCCCUCGUGAACGACCCAGGCAUCGACUGGGAAGACUAAACACUACUCGAGACCGAUAGCGGACAAGUAGCGUGAGCGAACGCUGAAAAGCACCCUCAGAAGGGAGGUGCAAUAGGGCCUGCAAUCAGGUGGCGAUCGAGCGACGGAGCGUAAAAGGCCCGGUGAGAAACGACCCGAGGGCGACCUCGCAGUAGGAAUCACGGGGAGCCGACGUUCCGUCGUACGUUUUGAAAAACGAGCCAGGGAGUGUGUCCGUCCGACGAGUCUAACCGGUGUAUCCAGGAAGGCGUAGGGAAACCGAUAGGGCCGCAGUACAUCCGUACGAGGGCCACCGUGUUCAAGCGCGGGGAGUCGAACGGUCACGACCCGAAUCCGGACGAUCUACGCGCGGGCAAGGUGAAGCACGGCGAAAGCCGUGUGGAGGCCUGUUAGGGAUGGUGUCCUACAAUACCCUCCCGUGACCUGCGUGUAGGGGUGAAAGGCCCAUCGAGUCCGGCAACAGCUGGUUCCGACCGAAACAUGUCGAAGCAUGACCUCCGUCGAGGUAGUCCGUGGGGUAGAGCGACCGAUUGGAGUGACCGCCCCCGAGAGGGGUCGGCGCUCCUGUCGAACUCCGAACCUACGGACGCUACAGACGCGGGGAGUCCGGUGCGCGGGGUAAGCCCACGUACCGUGAGGGAGACAACCCAGAGUUGGGUUAAGGUCCCCAAGUGUGGACUCAGUGCGACCGAAGGUGGUCUCGAGCCUUAGACAGCCGGGAGGUGAGCUUAGAAGCAGCUACCCGCUAAGAAAAGCGUAACAGCUUACCGGCCGAGGUUCGAGGCGCCGAAAAUGAUCGGGGCUCAAGUCCACCACCGAUACCUGACGACGUGAAAGCGACUCAGUAGGUCGGCGCUCCGUUCGGGUGGAAGCACGGGCGAGAGUUCGUGUGGACCGAGCGGCGACGAUAAUCCUGGCCAAAGUAGCAGCGAUAGUCGGGUGAGAAUCUCGACGGCCGAACAGGAAAGGGUUCCUCAGCACUGUUCGUCAACUGAGGGUUAGCCGGUCCUAAGAUCAGUCGCAGUUCGAGCUGAUCAAACGGGAAAUAGGUUAAUAUUCCUAUGCUACCGUACAUCGAAAGCCAACGCCUCAGGGUCGACCGAGCCGGGCUCCGCCCGGUCGAAGCGUCAAAGCCCGUGGAAGCCGUAACGGCACGAAGCGGGCGAACGGCGCAACAGGGCAACUCGGUUCAACCUGGGGCCCGUGAAACGGCGAGUACGAUAUCCGUACCCAGAUCCGACACAGGUUCCUGUGGCGGCGAAAGCCAAGGCCUGUCGGGACCAACCGACGUUAGGGAAUUCGGCAAAUUAGUCCCGUACGUUCGCAAUAAGGGAUGCCUGCCCCGGAAAGGGGCAGGCCGCAGUGACUCGAACGCUCCGACUGUCUACUAACAACACAGGUGACCGCAAAUCCGCAAGGACUCGUACGGUCACUGAAUCCUGCCCAGUGCGGGUAUCUGAACACCCAGUACAAUGGGACGAAGGACCCCAGUGCGGAGUCUGGAGACCCCCAAGGGGAAGCGAAGACCCUAUAGAGCUUUACUGCAGGUUGCCGCUGGGACACGGCCGCUGAUGUGCAGCAUAGGUAGGAGGCGUUACAGAGGUGCUGGCUGCUAGCCAGUCGCCCAGCCAUCAGUGAAAUACUACCCGUCAGUGGCUGUGACCCUCACUCCGGGAGGAGAACACCGGUAGCCGGGCAGUUUGACUGGGGCGGUACGCGCUCGAAAUCCUAUCGAGCGCGCCCGAAGGUCGUCUCAUCCGGGUCGGAAACCCGGAAAAGAGUGUAAGAGCAUAAGACGGCCUGACAGUGUUCUUCCCAACGAGGAACGCUGACACAAACGUGUGGUCUAGCGAACCUAUGCGCCCGCCCGAUGCGGGCCAUAGAUGACAGAAAAGCUACCUUAGGGAUAACAGAGUCGUCACCCGCAAGAGCACAUAUCGACCGGGUGGCUUGCUACCUCGAUGUCGGUUCCCUCCAUCCUGCCCGUGCAACAGCGGGCAAGGGUGAGGUUGUUCGCCUAUUAAAGGAGGUCGUGAGCUGGGUUUAGACCGUCGUGAGACAGGUCGGCUGCUAUCUAUUGGGGGUGUUUGAGGUGCCUGACGGGAACGCCCGUAUAGUACGAGAGGAACUACGGACGGUCGCCGCUGGUGUACCGGUUGUCCGCAAGGGCACGUGCCGGGCAGCCACGCGACACGGGCUAAGAGCUGAACGCAUCUAAGCUCGAAACCCACCUGAAAAAGAGGCACCGCCCGAGAUCACUCGUAGAAGACGAGUCAGAUAGACUCGGGGUGUACGCGCCGAGGCAACGAGGCGUUCAGCCCGCGAGCACUAACGAUCGAGC